CCUACGGGAGGCUGCAGUGGGGAAUAUUGGACAAUGGGCGAAAGCCUGAUCCAGCCAUGCCGCGUGUGUGAAGAAGGCCUUCGGGUUGUAAAGCACUUUCAGUGGGGAAGAAAGCCUUGGGGCUAAUACCCUCGAGGAAGGACAUCACCCACAGAAGAAGCACCGGCUAACUCCGUGCCAGCAGCCGCGGUAAUACGGAGGGUGCGAGCGUUAAUCGGAAUUACUGGGCGUAAAGCGCGCGUAGGCGGUCUGAUAAGCCUGUUGUGAAAGCCCCGGGCUCAACCUGGGAACGGCAUCCGGAACUGUCAGGCUAGAGUGCAGGAGAGGAAGGUAGAAUUCCCGGUGUAGCGGUGAAAUGCGUAGAGAUCGGGAGGAAUACCAGUGGCGAAGGCGGCCUUCUGGACUGACACUGACGCUGAGGUGCGAAAGCGUGGGUAGCAAACAGGAUUAGAUACCCCGGUAGUC
This 465-nucleotide ribosomal RNA is filed under the name Vreelandella stevensii. RNAcentral's name for it is "partial 16S ribosomal RNA". It matches the Rfam family "Bacterial small subunit ribosomal RNA", at positions 338 to 795 of the family's 1533-position model. Lineage: Bacteria; Pseudomonadati; Pseudomonadota; Gammaproteobacteria; Oceanospirillales; Halomonadaceae. The record is from RNAcentral.